This 59-nucleotide ribosomal RNA is filed under the name Neobacillus niacini. RNAcentral's name for it is "Bacillus niacini partial 16S ribosomal RNA". Lineage: Bacteria; Bacillati; Bacillota; Bacilli; Caryophanales; Bacillaceae. The record is from RNAcentral.
GUAGCCGUAUCGGAAGGUGCGGCUGGAUCACCUCCUUUCUAAGGAUAAUGCAGUCCUUG